RNAcentral lists this ribosomal RNA (253 nucleotides) under uncultured bacterium. Its description in RNAcentral is "partial 16S ribosomal RNA". It matches the Rfam family "Bacterial small subunit ribosomal RNA", at positions 524 to 776 of the family's 1533-position model. The record is from RNAcentral.
UACAGAGGUCUCAAGCGUUGUUCGGAUUCAUUGGGCGUAAAGGGUGCGUAGGUGGCGCGGUAAGUCGGGUGUGAAAUCUCGGAGCUUAACUCCGAAAUUGCAUUCGAUACUGCCGUGCUCGAGGACUGGAGAGGAGACUGGAAUUCAUGGUGUAGCAGUGAGAUGCGUAGAGAUCAUGAGGAAGACCAGUGGCGAAGGCGGGUCUCUGGACAGUUCCUGACACUGAGGCACGAAGGCCAGGGGAGCAAACGGG